ACCACGGGGGCUCAGGGCCUGUGGGUGGAGGAGUCAGGAAUGGGAACCAGUACUUGGGUGGGGAGUACUGGCUGAGUGUGAGUUUCUGCUGUUCCUGCUCCCCAGGGAGUGUCGGGCACUGUGGUGUCUCCAGUCCCCACCCCAGGUCAGGAGGCCAGCUUGGGCCAGGAGGAGAGGCUGGACUUUGGCAGGUGAGUGUGAAUGCCUUUGCUGAAACUGGCCGCUGCCACCCAGUGGCCAGCAUGACAAGGCGAGGCUUUAACACUACCACUUUCUGCAUCCCGUUGUAGGUUUUUCUGGCUUUUCCUCUCCAGCUGUUCCAAGCCAGGCUGGUGAAGUAGGAGUCACCUGUGGUGAGCUGGAGGUUGGAGCCUGUAGAUGGCGUGGCUCUGUGGCUCACUUCCUGUGGUUGUGGCAGCGACAGCGAUGGAGACUGCAGCUCGACAGGAAUGGAGAUGGAAUCCGGAGGAUGGCUGCAGCAAUGCGGAUGUAGGAGACCAAGAUGAGUGCACAGGGAGCCAGGAACAGGACCACAGCCCCCAGGAACACAUGCUGAUUGUCAUGUAUGUGAGCAGGCAAUCUUCAUGAGCAGUUGUUCUGCUUCUCUGGCUGAACCCUGACGGAUACAUACCCAUAUGUUGAGGCUUUGCCAGAGGUGACAAGUCUGUUUUCUUUUACAACAUCAGCUUCUCUAAAGUCCUCUGACCCCCAAAGGACUUAUACUUCAAGACUCCCCUACUCUUCUUUCACUGUAAGAUUUUUCCCCUGUCCCUCUACACAUCCUGUCAUCUCUGGCAUUACUAUUUAUGGCCUGAUUCUGCCUUGAAUGACCCUGAAGUCCCCAAGACUCACAUGUGUAAAAAAUUUCUUAGUUUGAUUUUGAUCAGCUCCUAAGAGAGAAUUUCUAGGUGAGAGAAGGAACUGUAAAAACGGUCCAUCAACUGCAUUCUUCAAAAAUGUUGAUGUCAUAAUAGGCACAGAAAUGCUGGGGAACCUUUAUAGAUUCAAGGAGACUAAGGACAUAUAAUAACUAAAUAUAGUAUGAGGUUCUAGACUGGAACAUGUACUGAAAGAAAAGAAUGCUAUAAAGAACAUUUCUGGCUAAAUUGACACAAAUGAAAUACAGACAGUAGAUUAAAUAAAAUUCCAUGUUUCUGUUCAAUUUACCAACAUCGAUAACUAUACUGGGGGUAGGAAACAGAACAUCCUAUUUCUUAGGAAAUACUGAAAUAUUUAGGGGUAAAGGGUAA
Molecule: long non-coding RNA, 1250 nt
Filed under: Homo sapiens (human)
Lineage: Eukaryota; Metazoa; Chordata; Mammalia; Primates; Hominidae
Description: HSALNT0331304
Source: RNAcentral